Trifolium pratense (red clover) is the source of this 1392-nucleotide long non-coding RNA. RefSeq lists it as uncharacterized. The record is from RefSeq and is a predicted model, not a curated record. Lineage: Eukaryota; Viridiplantae; Streptophyta; Magnoliopsida; Fabales; Fabaceae. The transcript is spliced from 2 exons.
ACAUUGUGUCAGGAGAAUUUGGGAAGCCUUGGCCAUCAACCGAAGAUUGAGAUGGUAGUAUUCAGACGGUGGUUGGAAUGAGAUUCGAAUAUGAACAUACGGUUUGGUACAGUUAUGAGAUUUAGGGAAAAUUGAGAACUUAUGGGCAUUUGAGAAGUUGUGAAGUUUUUAUGCGAUGAUGUUUUUUCCGGAGUAUAAUGGAUUGAAUUUUACUUGCGGUAGUGGUGUUGUACUCAUUAUGGAAUGAUACUCAAUGGAUGUUCGUGCUAUGGGAGCACUAUUGUAGUUUGGUGAAAAUGGAAUAUGUCAUCGUCAUGAUUGUCGGCUAUCUAUUGACAAAUUGAGGAACUGAUCACCCUUAAUCUCUUGUUAAUAGUAGACGAAAUUGUGUUGAUUGGAAUAGACUAGUUUUAUCAUACUUGAUAGUGAGCAGAGUUUUGGUGGUUCUUUUGGAAAGCCGGAUGAAGGAGUCUUAUCGGAGUUGUUCCAGUCAGAUGAUUUUCGAGGACGAAAAUUCUUUAAGUGGGGGAGAGUUGUAACGCCCCGAAUUUUAAUUAGGAAUACUUUAGGGAUAUAUGAUUUAUUAAAUGAUGUCUAAUUAUGUGCUUAUGUGUAUUUGUGUGUUUAUGAAUUUUAAAUUGAUUUUGACAUGUUAAGUGUGUUUUUAUGUCUUGUGUAAUUAUUGUGGUUUGAGAUUAAAUUAGAUAGUAUUAUAAUUUAGGAGUUAGUUAUGGGAGAAAAUAAAUAAUUAGAGGUUUUGGACUUAUUUAUGAGAGAAAGAGGUAGAGAGAGAAGUUAAAAGAAGGGUUUUGGUGAAAGUUGAAGAGAAAGAAGAGAUGAGGAAUGCAAAUCUCGUUUUCAACACAGCAGCCUCACAAAAACUUCGAUUCCCGAUUCGUUAACCGUUGGAUGUCCUUCAAAUUUUGAGGGUAGGUUCAUAACAUCUGAGGCCAACUUUUGACCGUUCGGAUCGUUGAAACAAGGUCUGAGGAGGAAGAAAUUGAGUUCGGAUUGCACCAGAUGUGUUGGGGAGAAAAAGAGGGAAAAAGGCAAGAACAAGGUGGAGCUUCAAGAACCAUUGCCAUCCUCCAUUUUCUUUACAACCAAAGGUUUUCCAGGUUGUUGAGUCUCGUGUGUUUGAGUUCUUGAUGAAGCUCCGCUCUGAUUGUGACACGGGGAAGAGUUUUUAGAGUCAUUUACUCUGUCAUUUUAUUUUUAAUUUAAAAUGUUUCUUGUUAGAAAAGAAAAAUAUUUUUAUUAGUGAUGCUUAUGCUAAUUUAUUUUCAUUAGCAAUAUGAAGAAAAAUGUAAUACCUUAAACCAAUAUUUUCAUAAGUUAUUUUGACUCCAAGCCUAUUUAUUAUUUAUAACCGCUGCGUAAUUUUGAAAAGCA